GACGAACGCUGGCGGCGUGCUUAACACAUGCAAGUCGAACGGAAAGGCCCUGCUUUUGUGGGGUGCUCGAGUGGCGAACGGGUGAGUAACACGUGAGUAACCUGCCCUUGACUUUGGGAUAACUUCAGGAAACUGGGGCUAAUACCGGAUAGGAGCUCCUGCUGCAUGGUGGGGGUUGGAAAGUUUCGGCGGUUGGGGAUGGACUCGCGGCUUAUCAGCUUGUUGGUGGGGUAGUGGCUUACCAAGGCUUUGACGGGUAGCCGGCCUGAGAGGGUGACCGGCCACAUUGGGACUGAGAUACGGCCCAGACUCCUACGGGAGGCAGCAGUGGGGAAUAUUGCACAAUGGGCGGAAGCCUGAUGCAGCAACGCCGCGGGCGGGAGGACGGCCUUCGGGUUGUAAACCGCUUUCGCCUGUGACGAAGCGUGAGUGACGGUAAUGGGUAAAGAAGCACCGGCUAACUACGGGC
RNAcentral lists this ribosomal RNA (469 nucleotides) under uncultured bacterium. Its description in RNAcentral is "partial 16S ribosomal RNA". It matches the Rfam family "Bacterial small subunit ribosomal RNA", at positions 28 to 508 of the family's 1533-position model. The record is from RNAcentral.